CUACGGGAUGCAGCAGUGGGGAAUAUUGCACAAUGGGCGCAAGCCUGAUGCAGCCAUGCCGCGUGUAUGAAGAAGGCCUUCGGGUUGUAAAGUACUUUCAGCGGGGAGGAAGGGAGUAAAGUUAAUACCUUUGCUCAUUGACGUUACCCGCAGAAGAAGCACCGGCUAACUCCGUGCCGAGCAGCCGCGGUAAUACGGAGGGUGCAAGCGUUAAUCGGAAUUACUGGGCGUAAAGCGCACGCAGGCGGUUUGUUAAGUCAGAUGUGAAAUCCCCGGGCUCAACCUGGGAACUGCAUCUGAUACUGGCAAGCUUGAGUCUCGUAGAGGGGGGUAGAAUUCCAGGUGUAGCGGUGAAAUGCGUAGAGAUCUGGAGGAAUACCGGUGGCGAAGGCGGCCCCCUGGACGAAGACUGACGCUCAGGUGCGAAAGCGUGGGGAGCAAACAGGAUUAGAUACCCGCGUAGUC
Molecule: ribosomal RNA, 465 nt
Filed under: uncultured bacterium
Lineage: Bacteria
Description: partial 16S ribosomal RNA
Rfam family: Bacterial small subunit ribosomal RNA
Source: RNAcentral